RNAcentral lists this ribosomal RNA (253 nucleotides) under uncultured prokaryote. RNAcentral's name for it is "partial 16S ribosomal RNA". It matches the Rfam family "Bacterial small subunit ribosomal RNA", at positions 524 to 776 of the family's 1533-position model. The record is from RNAcentral.
UACGUAGGGUUCUAUCGUUUUUCUUCCUCCUUUGGCGUAAAGCGCGUGUAGGUGGUCAGGAAAGUCGGGUGUGAAAUCUUGGAGCUUAACUCCGAAACUGCAUUCGAUACUGCCGUGCUCGAGGACUGGAGAGGAGACUGGAAUUUACGGUGUAGCGGUGAAAUGCGUAGAUAUCGUAAGGAAGACCAGUGGCGAAGGCGGGUCUCUGGACAGUUCCUGACGCUGAGGCACGAAGGCCAGGGGAGCAAACGGG